This is a small nucleolar RNA of Lates calcarifer (barramundi perch), 69 nucleotides long. The record is from Ensembl. NCBI's taxonomy places the organism in Eukaryota, Metazoa, Chordata, Actinopteri, Centropomidae.
AGUCGGUGAUGAUUUAGAUGAUAAGAGUAGUGGACAGAAGUGAUUUCUGAGUCAUUUUACGCUGAGACU